RNAcentral lists this ribosomal RNA (495 nucleotides) under uncultured bacterium. RNAcentral's name for it is "partial 16S ribosomal RNA". It matches the Rfam family "Bacterial small subunit ribosomal RNA", at positions 30 to 507 of the family's 1533-position model. The record is from RNAcentral.
UGAACGCUGGCGGCGUGCCUAAUACAUGCAAGUCGAGCGAACAGAUGAGGAGCUUGCUCCUCUGACGUUAGCGGCGGACGGGUGAGUAACACGUGGAUAACCUACCUAUAAGACUGGGAUAACUUCGGGAAACCGGAGCUAAUGCCGGAUAAUAUAUUGAACCGCAUGGUUCAAUAGUGAAAGACGGUUUUGCUGUCACUUAUAGAUGGAUCCGCGCCGCAUUAGCUAGUUGGUAAGGUAACGGCUUACCAAGGCAACGAUGCGUAGCCGACCUGAGAGGGUGAUCGGCCACACUGGAACUGAGACACGGUCCAGACUCCUACGGGAGGCAGCAGUAGGGAAUCUUCCGCAAUGGGCGAAAGCCUGACGGAGCAACGCCGCGUGAGUGAUGAAGGUCUUCGGAUCGUAAAACUCUGUUAUUAGGGAAGAACAAAUGUGUAAGUAACUAUGCACGUCUUGACGGUACCUAAUCAGAAAGCCACGGCUAACUACGUG